Long non-coding RNA from Pipra filicauda (Wire-tailed manakin), 577 nucleotides. RefSeq lists it as uncharacterized. Lineage: Eukaryota; Metazoa; Chordata; Aves; Passeriformes; Pipridae. The record is from RefSeq and is a predicted model, not a curated record. The transcript is spliced from 3 exons.
AGAUCUUCAAAGUAACAGUUGGUAAGAAGCAACUGCUGUAUUUCAGCUGAUCUUUGCUGCUGUUCAGAAUCCUAGUGAAGAGACCAGGGGAGUUAAACCAAUACAGAUCUGACAACCUGUAAGACUGGACAGAACAAAGUGACCACCAAAAGCGGGACUUUGUGGGCCAGUUGGAUAAAACAUAAGCUCAUCUCGCCCCCAAAACCCCGACUCUGGAACCACAACCUUCCAAGAUUCAAUUUGUAAGUAAAGUAUCUUUGUAAGAUAUGCCCAAUCAACUGAGUCAUUGCUUACAGAGUGGGUAAUUUUCAGACUAAUAAAAAGAGAAUAUUGCAGCCAAGUCACAAUACACACUCCUUCAUUUUCUGGACAGCGGGAAUUACUAAGAGAUACUAUUUGUUUUUAUUCAUAUUUUAUGAUUUAUUUAUCAGGCAGGUAAGAAGUACCUCCUCUAAGUGUCUAUAAAAUGACAUGGAACUCCCCAGAAUAACAGUUAUUUAUUAGACCCAGCACUCAAACUAUCUAUUAAGACUUCUUCUCAAAGUGGGUAACAAAUUACUGUGUAUCUCUUCCACUG